GACGAACGCUGGCGGCGUGCCUAAUACAUGCAAGUUGAGCGCUGAAGGUUGGUACUUGUACCAACUGGAUGAGCAGCGAACGGGUGAGUAACGCGUGGGGAAUCUGCCUUUGAGCGGGGGACAACAUUUGGAAACGAAUGCUAAUACCGCAUAAAAACUUUAAACACAAGUUUUAAGUUUGAAAGAUGCAAUUGCAUCACUCAAAGAUGAUCCCGCGUUGUAUUAGCUAGUUGGUGAGGUAAAGGCUCACCAAGGCGAUGAUACAUAGCCGACCUGAGAGGGUGGUCGGCCACAUUGGGACUGAGACACGGCCCAAACGCCUACGGGAGGCAGCAGUAGGGAAUCGUCGGCAAUGGACGAAAGUCUGACCGAGCAACGCCGCGGGAGGGAAGAAGGUUUUCGGAUCGGAAAACUCUGUUGGUAGAGAAGAACGUUGGUGAGAGUGGAAAGCUCAUCAAGUGACGGUAACUACCCAGAAAGGGACGGCUAACUACGUG
Molecule: ribosomal RNA, 497 nt
Filed under: uncultured bacterium
Lineage: Bacteria
Description: partial 16S ribosomal RNA
Rfam family: Bacterial small subunit ribosomal RNA
Source: RNAcentral